UUAAUGGACGGCUAGGGUUCCGGCUUUCUUGCUCGAGUAAUCUCGGUGGAUUACAUGAGCUGGAAAGUGACUGGUCCGAGAGCUGUCGACCUUCCACGGGUAACCAUCACUACCCCCUGGCAGGUUACACGGCGGGAUAAAAGCCCGGGAGGA
RNAcentral lists this small RNA (153 nucleotides) under Teredinibacter turnerae. RNAcentral's name for it is "Guanidine-I sequence". It matches the Rfam family "Guanidine-I riboswitch aptamer". From Rfam's summary of the family: This family represents a conserved RNA structure found upstream of the ykkC and yxkD genes in Bacillus subtilis and related genes in other bacteria. The function of this family is unclear although it has been suggested that it may function to switch on efflux pumps and detoxification systems in response to harmful environmental molecules. Nelson showed that this riboswitch senses and responds to guanidine and it was renamed Guanidine-I riboswitch. RNAcentral also lists the same sequence under 1 other name. Lineage: Bacteria; Pseudomonadati; Pseudomonadota; Gammaproteobacteria; Cellvibrionales; Cellvibrionaceae. The record is from RNAcentral.